UUGACAGGGGGUGGGGUGGGGUAUGGAGAGAGAGAGAGAGAGAGAGAGAGAGACAGAGAUAGAGAGAGAAAGACAGAGAGAAAGAGAGACACUGGGGUGGACAAAUGGUUCAGAGGUUUGGAGGUAGCAGAGCAAAUGAAAUGGAUUAGGGGAGUCUUAGGGGGAGUCUUUUCACAGAUACUUCUGAACUACUUUUGACUGUCUUCAUCCACAAUAACCUUGAUGAGCCGCAGACACUGACCCCCGGUCUCCAGCCAGCAAAAAUCCAUCAGUACCCCGAAAAAAAAGUUGAGACUAAAUUUCCUUUGAGGGGAAACAACAUCAAUCGUUUUUCAUUGAUAUUUUGGAGGGGAAGCAUGAGACCUUAGAGAUGAUAUUUUCAUGGCAAUUCCCUGCCUGUUUUUUGUACAGCCAAGAUGUUGAUAAUCUGAAGCCAGACAGGCAGAGAUUUGUUUGAUGUGUAGUUUUCUUGUCUUUAAAGAAAAAUCAUUUGUUGGUUUGAGUUUUAGGAACAUAGAUAUUUUACAUAAAACGUUGUCCUGGAUAUAACCCAAUAUAACACCUUACCUUGUCUUCAGUUAUAAUGUGUAAAUAUAUACUGUAAUAAUGUGUAAAUAUAUACUGGUAUAAUUUGUAAAUAUAUACUGGUAUAAUGUGUAAAUAUAUACUGUUAUAAUGUGUAAAUAUAUACUGCUAUAAUGUGUAAAUAUAUACUGUUAUAAUUUGUAAAUAUAUACUGCUAUAAUGUGUAAAUAUAUACUGGUAUAAUGUGUAAAUAUAUACUGUUAUAAUGUGUAAAUAUAUACUGUUAUAAUGUACAAAUAUAUACUGCUAUAAUGUGUAAAUAUAUACUGCUAUAAUGUGUAAAUAUAUACUGUCAAACACAAAAAGUCAGCAAUGCCAGCAAUGUUUCAUGCAAAAGUAAAUGUAUGAAUAUAUAAUUUCUUAUGUACGUAUGUGGCAGACAGAUGGAAGGACAUAUGGACAGGCAGUGCAUGUUAGGCCAGUACAUAUGCCUUCAAUAAGAAUGUGAAAAUGUGUAAGUUUGUAAUUACUGGUCUUGCCAACACAUGUCUGAAAGAAGAGAAUUGAGGAGCAGUGUACAAAUUACACUGACAUUUUGGGCAUUUUUGUAAGAAUGUUAAAUAGAUAAAUAUAUAUAUAUAUAUAUAUAUAUAUAUAUAUAUAUAUAUAUAUAAAAAUCACUUUCAGAGAUGCAUGUUGCCUCUUCUGUCCUUCUGGCCUGGUGCUCUAUUGGCCUACAGUAUAUCCACUCUAACCCAUCUGCAGAGGUGCAGUUGUGGAGCAUUGGCUUUCCACAGAGGCCAUGCCUGCGGUGUGGGAGGAAGUGAACCCAUUUAUAGGCUUAUCGCUGGAAAGGGCGAAGGACUAUGGAGUUACCAUAGUAAACAGAAACAGAAUCCACCUUCAACUGAGCGAUUAACAUAAAAAAACAACUGAAACACAGUACAUGGGAAACAAAUUCUAAAGACCGGCGUUGAAACCUUAAUCCAAUGUCUCCGUCUCUUCUUGAUGUCAUGCAAGUAUUGUCUUUAUUUAAUUUAAUUUGAGUCUGUAUGGAUAAACACCUGACCACAAGGUUUAAAUCACUGAUUAGCUUUUUGUGUUUAAUGACUAUGUUGUUUGCCUCUCUGUGCAUUUGAGUCUCCCUCCGCCAUGAUUAAUCACUUUUAAGUCCUUAUUUUCACGGGGCUCGGUCUUGACUUGGUCUCGUCUAACAAACCCUGCAUUCAGGCACACCGAGCUGUAUACAGUAGCAGGCAGCGUAAAUUAACCUAUACAAUGCAACUGCAUUCAAACCAGUGAACCAGUCACAUACAUUCCAGCGAGUGACAAAAGGCAAAACAAUAGCUCAAGCACGCUCACAAAAGCGCUUUGAAAAUUGAUUUCCUGACUGUGGGUGUCACUCAGUGACAUGCCACCAACUUCCUGCUAGAAUAAGAAAGCGCUAUUUCGAGACGCAAUCAAUAAGGACGGAGCGAGCCUCCGACGAACUGGCACACAAGCGCGCGAGGAAACAAAAGCCACAUACUAAUUAGCCUGCGGUUCUGCAGAGAGGCACACCAGAAGUAACAACAGCAUUUUCAGCAAACGGUUCCCCCGACCUCACCAUGAUAUUUUUAACAACAAUAGUGGAGGGGGCAAAAUAAUUGGCCAAAUAUUGAGCAUGCGUGGCCUUUUACCACUAUUUGUGCUGAUUACCCAGGCCACCAACACACUGAAGACCAGCGACCCACUCAAAAGCUGCGGAUGGUCAAAUGUAAAAUGCUUCUCUACGGCUCAGUGCUUCAAUUACGCUCAUACAACAGAAGCCAGGGCAUAAUGCUGGUAAUGAGCUGGCUGAGGCCAUGUUCAGUAGCAAAGGGUUCAAAUGAGAAGACUGAAAAAGUCACAGCGUACGAUGACUGAAACUAGACGGGGGAAACUUCAAGGGGAACCCUGAGGAAAUACAGAGCACCAAUAAACACGACACGACACGACACGGCACAACAAUAACACAUUCAUGGUUCCCCGUUGCCACAAAAGUGAAAACCUCUCACCAUUUUAAAAUAAGAUGCAUCUCUACAAAAUGUAAUCCAAAGUACCUUCUCUGCAGGGUCAAAAAUUGAAAGGGAAUAGGAAACUAAACUAAAAAAAAAACUAAAACAACAUAAUCUGUUGCUGAUGCAUUCAUGAUAAAUAGAACCCCAACAUAAUCUGGUGCUGAUGCGUUCAUGAUAAAUAGAACCCCGACAUAAUCUGGUGCUGAUGCAUUCAUGAUAAAUAGUGCAGAAAGCAUCAUGACAGCGUGAGCUUAUGUGCUGUGGUGUGGCGGCUUCUUGCUGUGUUUCCACAAGACUGGACAGGCCGGUGCCCUGAGCCCUGAGCCCUGAGCCCUGCACUGACUGGGGCCGCCACCCUCAAGGGGCUGAACAUCAG
Clupea harengus (Atlantic herring) is the source of this 2940-nucleotide long non-coding RNA. The record is from Ensembl. NCBI's taxonomy places the organism in Eukaryota, Metazoa, Chordata, Actinopteri, Clupeiformes, Clupeidae.